This is an RNA transcript of Daktulosphaira vitifoliae (grape phylloxera), 1445 nucleotides long. RefSeq lists it as uncharacterized. The record is from RefSeq and is a predicted model, not a curated record. The transcript has 5 exons. Lineage: Eukaryota; Metazoa; Arthropoda; Insecta; Hemiptera; Phylloxeridae.
AUAAAAAACUUGUACGUCUAUUCUUUUUUUUAAUAAGAGUAUAGAUAUAAUAAAAUAUAUUAAUAAGUUUUCGAAAAUGGAAAUGGCAUUAAUACUAAAUAUUCAAGUGUACUUAUGUAUGUUAUUCGCUUUUUUACAUACUGAAGGGACAAAUAAUAAAAAUAUAAACGCGGUUAUCAUAAAUAAUUUUCUACGUCAACCAGGAUGGAAUAAUAUAAAUGAUGUCGAAUUAGUUAAGUAUUGGGGCAAAAACUAUGAACUGAAAAAUUUAUUUAUUAAACCUGUAACAUUAUAUAAUUGCGAUAAUUGCAUACGGCAAGCAACGAUAUUCCUUGGAUGUUCUUACGUUCAUGAUUUAAAUUUAAUGAUCUUAUCAUUAAAUAAAUUUCAUGAACAUUGUACUUAUCUUUUAAUUUCUGGUGAUGAUAGUGCGCACAAUUGUAUAGUCACACUUUUAACAAAAAUAAUUGAAAUUGUUCCGAUGGCAAAAUAUAUGAAAGGAGCUUUAUAUGCAAUAGAAAAAUAUCAUACUAUCCCCUUGAACAUCCAAAAAAGAACUCGUUUUAUUUUAAGCAAUCUACUUACAAAUAUACAGGAAGAUGAAACUUUAUUCUCUACGUUGAGAACCAGUUCGGAUUCAAUUAAAGAUGCUUUAAAGACUAUCGCGAAUACAUUAUUCGAUUGGCGUUAUGAACUUGAUGAAGAUAAAUCAUUUUGUCAUCUAAAAAACUUAGAUUUUAAUUUAUUAUGGAAUUUAUGGAAUGCAGAAUUUAUUACAUUAAAAUAUCAAGGAAAAUACCAAGAACUUUUCAAUUUUCUUAGUGAUAAAAUUAGAAAUUUAAUUCUAAACACAUUUAUGAAAAAGUAUAUUGAACUUGGAUUUAAAUUUGAUAAGUACACAAGUCAAACAUUUUUACCUACUCUACCACUUACUAAUGUCAAACAAGAUAUCGCGCAAACUUCUUCUAAAAAUUACAUACAAAAUACCAAUGAAGUACAUGCGCAAGAAGAAAUUCAGCAACAUGAGAAACAGGAAGACAUAAGACAAGAAAGAAGCAAUAUAUUCAUCCAUAAUAAUUUGUCCAUAAUUUAUAGAAAAUAUAUUUACAAAAUUUACCCAGCAACAUGUACAAAAGCCAAAAUAAUUUAAAAUCACAUUCUUUACAUAAUCAUUAUGAAACGCUUUAAUUGUAUGAACUAGUUGUAGUUAAUAAAAUAAGUAUAAAUAAGAUCUAUAAUAUGUAAGAAGAUGUCAAUUGUGAAUUGAAAGAUGAUUCAGUCGAACUAAUAGAAUAUCAUAAGGGUAUGGAACCAUUUAAUAAGUACCUUUAAAUUAAUUUUCAUGUGCUAAAUUUUUCUCAUAUUUGCAUUACUAUAUAUAAUAACUGUGUUAAUUUGAUUUAUAUGUAUGAUUUAAAUAUUUAAUAAAAAUCACAAUUAAUUAU